UUGCCUCUACCUUUAAUCGGCUACGCCACACUCCAACGACCUCCGACAACCUUCUGCUUACCGUCCCAUCAUACCGCUAGUGCUCUCUGCAGCCGCCCAGACUCAGUGCGGGCCAAGGCUGAGUCACCUCAGCCACCGUACGUGGACACCGCCCAGCGUCGGCCGCGCCGCACUCCCUCUAUAUGUUAAGGAUUUUAUAGGUUGGUGGAUUUCGUAAAGUUGAAUGGAGUCUUGAAGAGUUGAUUGCGGAAGUUUGAAGAAAAGUUUCAAAUUGAAGAACAAAGA
RNAcentral lists this long non-coding RNA (285 nucleotides) under Ananas comosus (pineapple). RNAcentral describes it as "long non-coding RNA (ACOM_LNC043218)". The record is from RNAcentral. Lineage: Eukaryota; Viridiplantae; Streptophyta; Magnoliopsida; Poales; Bromeliaceae.